This is a long non-coding RNA of Xenia sp. Carnegie-2017, 977 nucleotides long. RefSeq lists it as uncharacterized. The transcript has 5 exons. The record is from RefSeq and is a predicted model, not a curated record. NCBI's taxonomy places the organism in Eukaryota, Metazoa, Cnidaria, Anthozoa, Malacalcyonacea, Xeniidae.
AAAGUUAUAAUGAUCCACGUUUUAGAGAUGAAAAAUCUAUUGAAGUAACAGUGAAAGCUACUUAUCGACCACAACAAACCAAUAUUACCAUCAGUCCAAUGUCAGUAAAAAAAGGUCAAAAUGUGACAAUAACCUGUGAAUCAGAUGGUUAUCCUGAACCAACCUACACUAUUUAUCAUAAUGGCGCAGUUAUCAGUAAUAAUAAGACAUACAUCAUUCAAUCUGUCAACUUCAAUCACGUUGGUUCAUAUCGUUGUGAAGCAAAGAAUAAACUGGGAAAUGAUUUAUCUGAUGUUAAAAAUCUUACUAUCAUCAGAGUGGUGAAAAUGGUGUUGAAGCUUUAGCAGGAGCUAAUAAUGCACAACCCAAUCAUUAUGAAGUGGCUGGAGAACUUAGAGAAAAUGCUUAUGAAUCUGUUGGUAAUCAAUAUGAAUCAGUAAAUAAUCCAUCAACAAGUGAUGAAAAUAAACCAUCAACAAGUAAAGCACCACCACCUGUUUAUGCCUCCAUCGAUAGAAAAAACAGAGAAGGAAAUCCGUUAUACUCCUCACUUGAUUUAAAAGAUGUCCCUUAAAAAAACCUGGCCCAAAAUCGUCCUGCACCGUCUGAAUACGCCAGACUUGAUAUGAGUAAACUGGCACCUGUCGAGAAAAAGACGACAAGAAAGGCGAAGACAAAAAAGGCGAUGAAAAGAAGGAAUAAACUGGCGAUCGUCGUUAAUAAAACAAGAGUACGUAAAGACUUACUACAUUUAUAAAGUUUUAUUUUGUUCUUCAUUAUAUAAUCUAGAUUUGAUCUCUAAACAGUAUUAAACUGAAUACUUUAUGAUUGUGUCUGUGUACAUAAUCUUUUGCCAUGAACAAACUUGAAUCUUGGCAUCUAUGCUACAGUUUGUGAAUGUAUUUUACUUGCCUUUAUAAGGCAACAACAUUACACACUGACUUUAACACAGCAUUUUGAAUAGAAUAGUUUUAAUC